Molecule: ribosomal RNA, 253 nt
Filed under: uncultured bacterium
Lineage: Bacteria
Description: partial 16S ribosomal RNA
Rfam family: Bacterial small subunit ribosomal RNA
Source: RNAcentral
UACGUAGGGUGCAAGCGUUGUCCGGAAUUAUUGGGCGUAAAGAGCUCGUAGGCGGUUUGUCGCGUCGGCUGUGAAAACUCGGGGCUCAACCCCGAGCCUGCAGUCGAUACGGGCAGACUAGAGUGCGGUAGGGGAGACUGGAAUUCCUGGUGUAGCGGUGAAAUGCGCAGAUAUCAGGAGGAACACCGGUGGCGAAGGCGGUUCUCUGGGCAUUACCUGACGCUGAGGAGCGAAAGUGUGGGGAGCGAACAGG